Molecule: ribosomal RNA, 450 nt
Filed under: uncultured bacterium
Lineage: Bacteria
Description: partial 16S ribosomal RNA
Rfam family: Bacterial small subunit ribosomal RNA
Source: RNAcentral
GUGGGGAAUAUUGGACAAUGGGCGCAAGCCUGAUCCAGCCAUACCGCGUGGGUGAAGAAGGCCUUCGGGUUGUAAAGCCCUUUUGUUGGGAAAGAAAUCCUGUCGGUUAAUACCUGGCGGGGAUGACGGUACCCAAAGAAUAAGCACCGGCUAACUUCGUGCCAGCAGCCGCGGUAAUACGAAGGGUGCAAGCGUUACUCGGAAUUACUGGGCGUAAAGCGUGCGUAGGUGGUGGUUUAAGUCCGUUGUGAAAGCCCUGGGCUCAACCUGGGAAUUGCAGUGGAUACUGGAUCACUAGAGUGUGGUAGAGGGAUGCGGAAUUUCUGGUGUAGCAGUGAAAUGCGUAGCGAUCAGAAGGAACAUCCGUGGCGAAGGCGGCAUCCUGGGCCAACACUGACACUGAGGCACGAAAGCGUGGGGAGCAAACAGGAUUAGAAACCCCGGUAGUCC